RNAcentral lists this ribosomal RNA (583 nucleotides) under uncultured bacterium. RNAcentral describes it as "partial 16S ribosomal RNA". It matches the Rfam family "Bacterial small subunit ribosomal RNA", at positions 355 to 932 of the family's 1533-position model. The record is from RNAcentral.
UGGGGAAUAUUGCACAAUGGGCGCAAGCCUGAUGCAGCCAUGCCGCAUGUGUGAAGAAGGCCUUCGGGUUGUAAAGCACUUUCAGCGAGGAGGAAGGUGGUGAGCUUAAUACGCUCAUCAAUUGACGUUACUCGCAGAAGAAGCACCGGCUAACUCCGUGCCAGCAGCCGCGGUAAUACGGAGGGUACAAGCGUUAAUCGGAAUUACUGGGCGUAAAGCGCACGCAGGCGGUUUGUUAAGUCAGAUGUGAAAAUCCCCGGGCUCAACCUGGGAACUGCAUUUGAAACUGGCAAGCUAGAGUCUCGUAGAGGGGGGUAGAAUUCCAGGUGUAGCGGUGAAAUGCGUAGAGAUCUGGAGGAAUACCGGUGACGAAGGCGGCCCCCUGGACGAAGACUGACGCUCAGGUGCGAAAGCGUGGGGAGCAAACAGGAUUAGAUACCCUGGUAGUCCACGCUGUAAAACGAUGUCGAUUUUGGAGGUUGUGCCCUUGAGGCGUGGCUUCCGGAGCUAACGCGUUAAAUCGACCGCCUGGGGAGUACGGCCGCAAGGUUAAAACUUAAAUGAAUUGACGGGGUCAUAGCUG